AGUUUGAUCCUGGCUCAGAUUGAACGCUGGCGGCAUGCUUUACACAUGCAAGUCGAACGGCAGCGGGGGCUUCGGCCUGCCGGCGAGUGGCGAACGGGUGAGUAAUGCAUCGGAACGUGCCCAUGUCGUGGGGGAUAACUACGCGAAAGCGUAGCUAAUACCGCAUACGCCCCGAGGGGGAAAGCGGGGGACUCUUCGGAGCCUCGCGCGAUUGGAGCGGCCGACGCCGGAUUAGCUAGUUGGUGAGGUAAAGGCUCACCAAGGCGACGAUCCGUAGCGGGUCUGAGAGGAUGAUCCGCCACACUGGGACUGAGACACGGCCCAGACUCCUACGGGAGGCAGCAGUGGGGAAUUUUGGACAAUGGGGGGAACCCUGAUCCAGCCAUGCCGCGUGAGUGAAGAAGGCCUUCGGGUUGUAAAGCUCUUUCGGCCGGGAAGAAAUCGCGCACUCUAACAUAGUGUGUGGAUGACGGUACCGGACUAAGAAGCACCGGCUAACUACGUGCCAGCAGCCGCGGUAAUACGUAGGGUGCGAGCGUUAAUCGGAAUUACUGGGCG
RNAcentral lists this ribosomal RNA (558 nucleotides) under uncultured Thauera sp. RNAcentral describes it as "bacterial SSU rRNA". It matches the Rfam family "Bacterial small subunit ribosomal RNA", at positions 10 to 560 of the family's 1533-position model. The record is from RNAcentral. Lineage: Bacteria; Pseudomonadati; Pseudomonadota; Betaproteobacteria; Rhodocyclales; Zoogloeaceae.